GAUGAACGCUAGCUACAGGCUUAACACAUGCAAGUCGAGGGGAAACGAUGAGAGAGCUUGCUCUCUUAGGCGUCGACCGGCGCACGGGUGAGUAACGCGUAUCCAACCUACCCUUUACAGGGGGAUAACCUUGCGAACGUAAGACUAAUACCCCAUGGCAUUUUAUGGUGGCAUCAUUAUAGGAUUAAAGAUUUAUUGUUAAUGGAUGGGGAUGCGUCUGAUUAGCUUGUUGGCGGGGUAACGGCCCACCAAGGCAACGAUCAGUAGGGGUUCUGAGAGGAAGGCCCCCCACAUUGGAACUGAGACACGGUCCAAACGCCUACGGGAGGCAGCAGUGAGGAAUAUUGGUCAAUGGGCGAGAGCUUGAACCAGCCAAGUAGCGUGCAGGAGGACGGCCCUAGGGGUUGUAAACUGCCUUUAUAGGGGAAUAAAGUGAGAUACGUGUAGUUUAUUGCAUGUACCCUAUGAAUAAGGACCGGCUAAUUCCGUG
This 490-nucleotide ribosomal RNA is filed under the name uncultured bacterium. RNAcentral describes it as "partial 16S ribosomal RNA". It matches the Rfam family "Bacterial small subunit ribosomal RNA", at positions 28 to 507 of the family's 1533-position model. The record is from RNAcentral.